GUGGGGAAUUUUGGACAAUGGGCGCAAGCCUGAUCCAGCAAUGCCGCGUGCAGGAAGAAGGCCUUCGGGUUGUAAACUGCUUUUGUACGGAACGAAACGGUCCGGGUUAAUACCCUGGGCUAAUGACGGUACCGUAAGAAUAAGCACCGGCUAACUACGUGCCAGCAGCCGCGGUAAUACGUAGGGUGCAAGCGUUAAUCGGAAUUACUGGGCGUAAAGCGUGCGCAGGCGGUUUUGUAAGACAGGCGUGAAAUCCCCGGGCUCAACCUGGGAAUUGCGCUUGGGACUGCAAGGCUGGAGUGCGGCAGAGGGGGAUGGAAUUCCGCGUGUAGCAGUGAAAUGCGUAGAUAUGCGGAGGAACACCGAUGGCGAAGGCAAUCCCCUGGGCCUGCACUGACGCUCAUGCACGAAAGCGUGGGGAGCAAACAGGAUUAGAAACCCCGGUAGUCC
RNAcentral lists this ribosomal RNA (450 nucleotides) under uncultured bacterium. RNAcentral describes it as "bacterial SSU rRNA". It matches the Rfam family "Bacterial small subunit ribosomal RNA", at positions 354 to 796 of the family's 1533-position model. The record is from RNAcentral.